This 423-nucleotide ribosomal RNA is filed under the name uncultured bacterium. RNAcentral describes it as "bacterial SSU rRNA". It matches the Rfam family "Bacterial small subunit ribosomal RNA", at positions 207 to 622 of the family's 1533-position model. The record is from RNAcentral.
AAGACCUUGCGCUUUUGGAGCGGCCGAUGCCUGAUUAGCUUGUUGGUAAGGUAAAAGCUUACCAAGGCUUCGAUCAGUAGCUGGUCUGAGAGGACGACCAGCCACACUGGGACUGAGACACGGCCCAGACUCCUACGGAAGGCAGCAGUGGGGAAUUUUGGACAAUGGGGGCAACCCUGAUCCAGCCAUGCCACGUGAGUGAAGAAGGCCUUCGGGUUGUAAAGCUCUUUCAGCCGGAACGAAACGGUUACGGAUAACACCCGUGACUACUGACGGUACCGGAAGAAGAAGCACCGGCUAACUACGUGCCAGCAGCCGCGGUAAUACGUAGGGUGCGAGCGUUAAUCGGAAUUACUGGGCGUAAAGCGUGCGCAGGUGGUUUUGUAAGUCAGAUGUGAAAGCCCCGGGCUCAACCUGGGAACU